RNAcentral lists this ribosomal RNA (339 nucleotides) under uncultured eukaryote. RNAcentral describes it as "partial 18S ribosomal RNA". It matches the Rfam family "Eukaryotic small subunit ribosomal RNA", at positions 625 to 957 of the family's 1831-position model. The record is from RNAcentral.
CAGGGCCAAGGGGCCGAUUCAGCUCGUAGUUGAAUUUCUGGCUAUUAAUUAUUUUCUUCGGAUUUUAAAUAAUAGUCAUCCGCUUGAGAAUCAUUUUUGCUCUUUACUGGGUGAUAUGAGUAUCAAGUACUUUACCUUGAAGAAAUUAGAGUGUUUCAGGCAGGUUUUAGCCAUGAAUACACAAGCAUGGAAUAAUGGAAUAGGACUCUUAUCCUUUUUUGUUGGGAGCUGUGAGCUGCACGAGUGCGAGAGACUGACGGUUUGGAUGAUAAGUAAUUUAAAUUGCCAGAGGAAAUCUUGCUUGUUUUUUAAAAAAAAUUAAUUCAUGCGAAAUGUUCC